UUUUUCGUUCGUCUCCCUCGCUACGUUAUCUUCCUUGCCGACUCAAGCUUUCCGCCGAUCACUGCUUUCUCACCGACUGACUGCUUUCUCGUCGAUUUUUCUUCUUGUAUCUCGACGGCGUCGUGUAUCUGACCGACUCUGCUGCUCGUAUCUCGCCGACUCUGCUGCUCUCUCCCAAAAGACUGUUAUCUUUGCUGAACUCGUUAUCACAGAAAAUUAGCAAAGGGAAGAAAAACUUAUCGAGGAAGGUAGGCAAAGGGAAGAAAAACUUAUGGAGGAAGGUAGACAAAGAGAAGAAAAUCUCAAGGAGAUGGUUCAUAAGAUGAUUUAAGAGGUUGGAUAUACAAAUCAUUAGUAUCCAGGAGGAUCUGGUCCCCCCGAGCGUCGUGAUAGACGAAAUAAAAAUUAUAUUUAAUUAGAUAAUAUGAAUAUUUGGAUGAUGUGUUAUUUUUGGAUUAAAAAUUAAUUGCUUCGAAUAUUUUUAAUUUA
Zingiber officinale is the source of this 489-nucleotide long non-coding RNA. RefSeq lists it as uncharacterized. The record is from RefSeq and is a predicted model, not a curated record. The transcript is spliced from 2 exons. NCBI's taxonomy places the organism in Eukaryota, Viridiplantae, Streptophyta, Magnoliopsida, Zingiberales, Zingiberaceae.